This 946-nucleotide ribosomal RNA is filed under the name Mycolicibacterium pallens. Its description in RNAcentral is "bacterial SSU rRNA". It matches the Rfam family "Bacterial small subunit ribosomal RNA", at positions 502 to 1444 of the family's 1533-position model. Lineage: Bacteria; Bacillati; Actinomycetota; Actinomycetes; Mycobacteriales; Mycobacteriaceae. The record is from RNAcentral.
UACGUGCCCAGCAGCCGCGGUAAUACGUAGGGUGCGAGCGUUGUCCGGAAUUACUGGGCGUAAAGAGCUCGUAGGUGGUUUGUCGCGUUGUUCGUGAAAACUCCCAGCUUAACUGUGGGCGUGCGGGCGAUACGGGCAGACUGGAGUACUGCAGGGGAGACUGGAAUUCCUGGUGUAGCGGUGGAAUGCGCAGAUAUCAGGAGGAACACCGGUGGCGAAGGCGGGUCUCUGGGCAGUAACUGACGCUGAGGAGCGAAAGCGUGGGGAGCGAACAGGAUUAGAUACCCUGGUAGUCCACGCCGUAAACGGUGGGUACUAGGUGUGGGUUUCCUUCCUUGGGAUCCGUGCCGUAGCUAACGCAUUAAGUACCCCGCCUGGGGAGUACGGCCGCAAGGCUAAAACUCAAAGGAAUUGACGGGGGCCCGCACAAGCGGCGGAGCAUGUGGAUUAAUUCGAUGCAACGCGAAGAACCUUACCUGGGUUUGACAUGCACAGGACGCCGGCAGAGAUGUCGUUUCCCUUGUGGCCUGUGUGCAGGUGGUGCAUGGCUGUCGUCAGCUCGUGUCGUGAGAUGUUGGGUUAAGUCCCGCAACGAGCGCAACCCUUGUCUCAUGUUGCCAGCACGUUAUGGUGGGGACUCGUGAGAGACUGCCGGGGUCAACUCGGAGGAAGGUGGGGAUGACGUCAAGUCAUCAUGCCCCUUAUGUCCAGGGCUUCACACAUGCUACAAUGGCCGGUACAAAGGGCUGCGAUGCCGUGAGGUGGAGCGAAUCCUUUCAAAGCCGGUCUCAGUUCGGAUCGGGGUCUGCAACUCGACCCCGUGAAGUCGGAGUCGCUAGUAAUCGCAGAUCAGCAACGCUGCGGUGAAUACGUUCCCGGGCCUUGUACACACCGCCCGUCACGUCAUGAAAGUCGGUAACACCCGAAGCCGGUGGCCUAACCCUUG